UACAGAGGUGGCAAGCGUUGUUCGGAAUCACUGGGCGUAAAGGGCGCGUAGGCGGCCUGGCAAGUCGGGGGUGAAAUCCUGCGGCUUAACCGCAGGGCUGCCUUCUAAACUGUCAGGCUUGAGCACGGUAGAGGCAGAUGGAAUUCCCGGUGUAGCGGUGGAAUGCGUAGAGAUCGGGAAGAACAUCAGUGGCGAAGGCGGUCUGCUGGGCCGUUGCUGACGCUGAGGCGCGAAAGCGUGGGGAGCAAACAGG
Molecule: ribosomal RNA, 253 nt
Filed under: uncultured bacterium
Lineage: Bacteria
Description: partial 16S ribosomal RNA
Rfam family: Bacterial small subunit ribosomal RNA
Source: RNAcentral